CGCAACCCUUGUCCUUAGUUACCAGCACGUUAUGGUGGGCGACUCUAAGGAGACUGCCGGUGACAAACCGGAGGAAGGUGGGGAUGACGUCAAGUCAUCAUGGCCCUUACGGCCUGGGCUACACACGUGCUACAAUGGUCGGUACAAAGGGUUGCCAAGCCGCGAGGUGGAGCUAAUCCCAUAAAACCGAUCGUAGUCCGGAUCGCAGUCUGCAACUCGACUGCGUGAAGUCGGAAUCGCCAGUAAUCGUGAAUCAGAAUGUCACGGUGAAUACGUUCCCGGGCCUU
Molecule: ribosomal RNA, 287 nt
Filed under: uncultured Pseudomonas sp.
Lineage: Bacteria; Pseudomonadati; Pseudomonadota; Gammaproteobacteria; Pseudomonadales; Pseudomonadaceae
Description: partial 16S ribosomal RNA
Rfam family: Bacterial small subunit ribosomal RNA
Source: RNAcentral